This 292-nucleotide ribosomal RNA is filed under the name uncultured bacterium. Its description in RNAcentral is "partial 16S ribosomal RNA". It matches the Rfam family "Bacterial small subunit ribosomal RNA", at positions 505 to 796 of the family's 1533-position model. The record is from RNAcentral.
GUGCCAGCAGCCGCGGUAAUACGGAAGGUGCAAGCGUUGUCCGGAUUGACUGGGUGUAAAGGGCGCGUAGGCGGAGAUGUGUGUCGGGAGUGAAAUCGUGCGGCUUAACCGUACAAUUGCUUUCGAAACUACAUCCCUUGAGUACAGAAGGGGUAGAUGGAAUACCUGGUGUAGCGGUGGAAUGCGUAGAUAUCAGGUAGAACACCGGAGGCGAAGGCGGUCUACUGGUCUGUAACUGACGCUGAGGCGCGAAAGUGUGGGGAGCAAACAGGAUUAGAAACCCCUGUAGUCC